CUGUCACUUGACAUGGGCUAGACAUCUCUAAAUCUUGAGGUAACCAAGACUCAGCUUCUUACCAUGUCAUAACUUGUAUAGUGUGGUAGGAACGAAUUUAGACGAAACCUUAUUUAAAAGGUGAAUAGCAAAUAGUAACGCAUAUCUCCAGAGAAAAGUUGGAAGAUUUGUGAAGCUCAUCAUGGAUCAGACCAUAUCC
RNAcentral lists this long non-coding RNA (199 nucleotides) under Elaeis guineensis (African oil palm). RNAcentral's name for it is "long non-coding RNA (EGUI_LNC043319)". The record is from RNAcentral. Lineage: Eukaryota; Viridiplantae; Streptophyta; Magnoliopsida; Arecales; Arecaceae.